RNAcentral lists this ribosomal RNA (401 nucleotides) under uncultured bacterium. RNAcentral's name for it is "partial 16S ribosomal RNA". It matches the Rfam family "Bacterial small subunit ribosomal RNA", at positions 338 to 755 of the family's 1533-position model. The record is from RNAcentral.
CCUACGGGCGGCAGCAGUGGGGAAUAGUGCACAAUGGGGGAAACCCUGAUGCAGCGACGCCGCGGGAGUGAAGAAGGAUUUCGGUAUGUAAAGCUCUAGCAGCAGGGAAGAAGCAAGACGGUACCUGACGAAGAAGCACCGGCUAACUACGUGCAAGCAGCCGCGGUAAGACGGAGGGGGCAAGCGUUAUCCGGAUUUACUGGGGGUAAAGGGAGCGUAGACGGGAUGGCAAGUCGGAAGUGAAAGCCCAGGGCUUAACCCUGGGACUGCUUUGGAAACUGGUAGACUAGAGUGCUGGAGAGUUCAGUGUCCUUCCUAGUGUCGCGGUUCAAUUCUUCGAUAUUAGGCGGCCCACCAGUGGCGAAGGCGGCUUACUGGACAGUACCUGACGUUGAGGCUCG